CCGCCCGGGGACACCGAGGGGAGGCGGCGCGGGGAGAGGGUGGCAGGACCGCGGCUGGCCCGAGGAUGCGGGAUCGGGGAUAUCCCGGGGACGGAGAGAGGAUAGAGAGGGAGAAGAACCGGGGUGGGGGGAACACACACGAGCGAGCCCCCUCCCCACCUACCCCGCAAGCCGCCGCCCCCAUCGCGCYGCCGCGGGGGUCCUCUCGCCCCCUCCCCCGGUGCGGGGCGAGGGGCGCUUCUCCCCCCCCCUUCCCGGGGGUACGGGACCCCCCAGCCCCGCGGGUGCGGGGGCCGCAGGUUCCUCCCCCCGGUGUCCGGGGGGCUGCGGGGAUCGGGGGUCCCGGGAAGGGGGGGGUGGGGGGCGUCCCCCGCCCCUCCGCUCCCUUCCGGGAGCAGCGAGUUCARCCAAUCAUCGCCUCGCACUGCAGUGACGUCACGAUGAUGUCAUUCUCGCGGGAAAAUCAAGCGUGGCGGGGAUGCCCUUCUCACCCUGUCCUUAUCAGAGAGACCAGAGACCUGUUUGUACCAAAGGGGUUUAUUUGCAUGUAAAUAAACAUGUUCUCUGCAAUAUUUCCAAAAAAGUUGAAAUACCACUUUCCGGCCAAAAAACUGCCGCGGGAGCCGCGAUAUUUACAAUAACAGCGAUUUUUUUUCCACCCAGGGAUUUAUGUACAUCAUGAUAAUCGAGGAAAAGAACCAGUUUCUUUUAAUCUCCGUGUUCACUUCACCCACCUGAGAUUAAAAGCAGGAAAACACGGCUCUGGCUAAGACCAAGUCCAGGRAGCCAUCCUGUGGGAUUCCCAGCCUGGAUUCCACUUGAAAGUGCUUCUCUUGGAAGGCUGGUAGUGCCCUCGCACAACUCGGAACGGUUCAAAGGGCUUUUUGUCAAAAAAACAAAAAAAAAAGAAUUAAAUAAAUCGGGAGAGUGGGGCAGGCAGGAGGCUGAGCCGGCAUCGUUCCCAACGCAGCCACCAGAGYGGGGUCUCCAGCUAAAUUCCUCUGGGAUUGCAUUCCUGACAUCCUCUUCGUAGCACCCCGCAGUCACACGAUUCCAACGCUGCGUGAGACAACAGCAUUUGCUCCAGGGACCACAAGAUCAGCCCGGAGAGGAUGCCUGAGUCAUGCUCCUAAUUCCAGCCAAAAGGGGAAAAUCCAUCUUGUAAGGAAAUGAACACUUCUGCUGCAACUCUGAUCCCAGCUGAGCCACUCAGGGACCCUGGUGCCAAGCAGGACACGGCUCCUUUGGCCGGACAAUCCUCGCCAGGGCAGCGCCCGUGUUUGUGUGACCACAAUUCCCAGCCGAGCAGCACGAGGAGAUUCCAGGGAAGCUCUUUAGUGCAGACAGGAGUCCCUUUUUCCACUGGGAUUUGUUGGAAAUUCACCACGCUGGAAUGUCACCAAAGCUGCCCAAACCCACGGGCUCUACCCAAACUCCCUUCUGGGGAAACAAGGAGCAYGAGGCGUUCCCACAGGGAAGUGAAUAAAUAGUUAAAACAAAAGGGAAGGCAAACCCAAGGCAGCAGCAAUCCUUCAAUCCUGUGACCUGGGAUAAAAUCCUGAUUUCCAUGAGGACACAGCACCCGGCUCGUGCCAGAGGCAUUGAAUGAAGGAAUGCCGCGGGAAUAAAAUAAAUUAAAAACCUCACGUUUUUCCUUCUUCCAAAGAAUUAAAACCCAAGCCUAAAACGUUUCCUAAAAUACUUGAAAACUUCCUACAUCCGAAAGGAGCUUAUCCUGAAUGGGAAGAGGGCCAAGGGACUGGGAUCUCCCAGACCAGCCUAUGUCUGUUUGUUCCCACAUUCCCACACUUGGCUUCACCCCCAUUAAYUCCAACAGGGAUGAUAAUACUCAGAAAUUCAGGAAGAAUGGAAGUGCCCACAGGAUGAAGGCCACAGGCAGGGACCUGGCUGCUGGCACUCACACCUUCUGCACAGACCUUGGAGAUCCGAAAAUUUUGGAAAUAUCAUGGAAAUAC
Long non-coding RNA from Malurus melanocephalus (red-backed fairy wren), 1976 nucleotides. RefSeq lists it as uncharacterized. Lineage: Eukaryota; Metazoa; Chordata; Aves; Passeriformes; Maluridae. The record is from RefSeq and is a predicted model, not a curated record. The transcript is spliced from 3 exons.